AUGGUCCCUGGGCAUGCCUUACACCGUGGCCAAGCCGAGUUGAGCCCACCGGGAAGAACAGGGAUUUUCCAAGUACCAGAAGAGAACCCUCUCUGCCAUUGCAGCACUGAAUUUUCUACUUUUUUUUUCUGGAGAUAUUGCUGCUGCAACACUCGUGUUGACUCGAUGGCCCAGGUCCAGCAGGGAGCACGGAAGCUGCUGAGCGCUGAGAUUAUUCCCCACUGCGAGGAGUGUGCUGGCGCUGUGUGGCCCUGCUUAGCCUGGAGGAGUAAAAUUAGUGUUUGCCACGCUCUAACUCCGACACUUCCAGACGCUCGCCCUGCUCUGCCCCGUGAACUACCAUGUCUGCCGCCGCUGGCCCUGCUCCUGCUGCAAGUAUUGCUGUGUUUACAGGAAAUAUUUACAGGAAACGGGCUUUUCUGGCUGCAGGAUCACCAUCCCUCACCACCCCUUUGCGCUCACUUCAAGUUCUCAGUUCUGGGCGACCCAUCCCUCUGGAGAGCGGGCCUCCACCUGCCUCGGGGGGCUCAAAGUGAGUCUGAGGCUCCCCUGCCAGAGCUGGGUCUCACUGCCCGGUGACAGCAGCACUGCUGUUCUCGCUCCCCUUUAUAAAAGCACCGAUGUGUUUCCAAUAGCAGCCAGGGGCUGCCCCGGAGCAGUGGAAGUCGCACAUCUCGGUGUGAUCAGAGCAUCCCCGGCUCUGCUGAGCCCAGCCACAAAGAAACUCCACCAACUCCAGCACUCAGGAUCCGUCCCAGGCAGCUAAAUGUUUGGCCCUUUUGCUUCCUGUCUAAAUACCGGUGCUUAUUCCUGGGUGUAGCCAGAUCCUACUCAGCUGUUUCUUGCCCCUGUAGGUGCUGCCCCACGGGCCCUGGCGUUACGGCCCCUAUGAGCAGGUGGUGGGGACGGUGGGAGUGGGGACGGGAAGGGGACCACGGAAAGCACGUGGCUGUGGUGGUGUCCCAACGCUGCCUGCCCUUGACAGCCCUCGUGCAAUGGACAAGGAAGAGACAGAGGUGUUAAAUAGUAGCUGACGUGAGUAUUCCAGGGGAAAAAAGCUCAGUUUGGGUCAUAUAGAAUGGAAGCCUAUAAAAAUUAAAUCAAUUUUACAAUGAAAAGUACAAAUAUUUAGAAAUUCUGCCUACUUUUAUGUUCUUCAGCUGAAACUAUUCACUACAUCUGACCAAAAUGCCGUAGCAGCUCUGACCUCUCACAUUUUUCAGCUAAUUUCCAAAGCUGCUUUACUGAGCUCACCCCGAUUAUGCGCUGCUGCCUGCUGAAAGCACCCAGCCAAGGCAUCCCUGGCACCGAGAGCCUCUCCUGAAGUAGGAAGGAGCAGUGCUGGCUGUGCUGGGGUUAGGGACAUUUGCCCUGAUUGCACUGGUCUCACUGGGAGGGGAAAAGCAGAGACAGGCUCCUCUUCUCGCUCCCGGAAGGCAGGAGGCCCUGGGCCCCUUCCUGGGCAUCCCCCUCUCCAUCCCACGUCCUCUCACAAACAUUUGCCAUGUCUUAGCACCAGCGUGCCCGGAGUGGCAGGCUCUGCUGGGGAGGCAGUUUCCAUCCUACAGCCCUGAGCAGGUGCUGGAGCGGAGGCUGAACGUCCCCCCCAGCCCCGUGACCUCUCUCCCUUCUCGCUGAGUGUCCGUGCAGGGUACUGGGGACCAGACACCUUCACCGCGGCUCCUGCGGGGCAUCCUCCAGCUCCUUUACACAGAGCACAGGUCCUGUGUUUUUGUGGGAACGCAGGAGGUGCUCUGGGGCUGGGGCGGAUGGGGAGGAUUGCUGUAAACGCGCUGGGGAUGCCCCACUCUGGGCUCCUGCUCUUUAUCCCUGACUUCAAAUGGAUGCUGAAAAUCCUGAGAUGGACGGAGGGGUGAAAAUACCAGAAGCCAGCCUGUCAAUCACAGAAAACCCUGCAAGUAAGCUCACGGCACAGCUGGGGCUCAGCACUGCCACGGCCCCAGGCAGCGCCCGCGUUUCCUCACGAGGGAACAAUCUCCCCGGUGGCUCUGGGGUGGGUUUGGCCACCCCGCUGCCACCCGCCCCGCAGCGUGUCCCAGUCCCUGCGCCCAUCCUGCGGCGGUGCCAGCCCAGCCAAACGCACUGCAGGCUCCUGGGGAGGCGAGAGGCUGCGGGGUCUCCGUCUCCUCCGGCCAUUCCUCCGCCUCUGUUUGGAUAACUUUUUCACCCAUUUUGUUUAGGAGGACUCCCCUCCUUCUGCCAACAGUCUGACUUUUCUCUCAUUUCAGCCCGGGAGGCCCUUCUUUCUCUUUUAUUAUUAUUAUUUUUUUUUCUCUUCCCCCUCGCGAGGCCCCAGGCUCAGCAGCCUGGCCCCAGGACAGACUCGCGAGCCACGGGUGUCUGCGCUGCCUUUGUUUGUGCACCAAGCCAGAUGGGGAGAGCGGCGCAGGUGGGAUGUGGAGCAAUUCUUCCCAAGUCGGCCUGCCUGCUGACCCUCAGCCAGUCCCCGGGGAGAAUUACCGGCGGAGCUAUUCGCCUGCCUUCCCCUAAGGUCACCGAUGUGCCAGGGCUGGCAAACGGCUGCUCGCUUAGAGCCAGAUGCAAGCGGACGUCACAACUUAAUUGUAAGUGAAUAAACAGCUCGUCCAGCUCCUUGAAUAUCGUCUG
This 2628-nucleotide long non-coding RNA is filed under the name Anser brachyrhynchus (Pink-footed goose). RNAcentral's name for it is "lncRNA (ENSABRG00000018956.1)". The record is from RNAcentral. Lineage: Eukaryota; Metazoa; Chordata; Aves; Anseriformes; Anatidae.